This 254-nucleotide ribosomal RNA is filed under the name uncultured bacterium. RNAcentral's name for it is "partial 16S ribosomal RNA". It matches the Rfam family "Bacterial small subunit ribosomal RNA", at positions 524 to 776 of the family's 1533-position model. The record is from RNAcentral.
UACGUAGGGUGCGAGCGUUGUCCGGAAUUACUGGGCGUAAAGAGCUCGUAGGUGGUUUGUCGCGUCGUCUGUGAAAUUCCGGGGCUUAACUUCGGGCGUGCAGGCGAUACGGGCAAUACUUGAGUGCUGUAGGGGAGACUGGAAUUCCUGGUGUAGCGGUGGAAUGCGCAGAUAUCAGGAGGAACACCGAUGGCGAAGGCAGGUCUCUGGGCAGUAACUGACGCUGAGGAGCGAAAGCAUGGGUAGCGAACAGG